CAAUAGCGUAUAUUAAAGUUGUUGCAGUUCAAAAGCUCGUAGUUGGAUUUCUGGUGGGAGCGAUCGGUCUGGCGCUUAGCGCGAGUACUUGCAUCGUCUCCGGCCAUCCUUGGGGAGAGUCUGUCUGGCAUUAGGUUGUCGGGCAGAGGAUCCUCAUCGUUUACUGUGAAAAAAUUAGAGUGUUCAAAGCAGGCUUAUGCCGUUGAAUAUAUUAGCAUGGAAUAAUAAGAUAGGACUUUGGUACUAUUUUGUUGGUUUGCGCACCAAAGUAAUGAUUAAUAGGGACAGUUGGGGGUAUUCGUAUUCCGUUGUCAGAGGUGAAAUUCUUGGAUUUACGGAAGACGAACUACUGCGAAAGCAUUUACCAAGGAUGUUUUCAUUAA
RNAcentral lists this ribosomal RNA (383 nucleotides) under uncultured eukaryote. RNAcentral's name for it is "partial 18S ribosomal RNA". It matches the Rfam family "Eukaryotic small subunit ribosomal RNA", at positions 592 to 976 of the family's 1831-position model. The record is from RNAcentral.